CAGCCGCCACGGUAAUACGGAGGGUGCAAGCGUUAUCCGGAUUUAUUGGGUUUAAAGGGUCCGUAGGCGGAUCUGUAAGUCAGUGGUGAAAUCUCACAGCUUAACUGUGAAACUGCCAUUGAUACUGCAGGUCUUGAGUAAAUUUGAAGUGGCUGGAAUAAGUAGUGUAGCGGUGAAAUGCAUAGAUAUUACUUAGAACACCAAUUGCGAAGGCAGGUCACUAAGAUUUAACUGACGCUGAUGGACGAAAGCGUGGGGAGCGAACAGGAUUAGAGACCCCAGUAGUCCCUGUCUCUUAUAC
This 301-nucleotide ribosomal RNA is filed under the name uncultured bacterium. RNAcentral describes it as "partial 16S ribosomal RNA". It matches the Rfam family "Bacterial small subunit ribosomal RNA", at positions 509 to 807 of the family's 1533-position model. The record is from RNAcentral.